This 296-nucleotide ribosomal RNA is filed under the name Bactericera gobica. Its description in RNAcentral is "partial 12S ribosomal RNA". The record is from RNAcentral. Lineage: Eukaryota; Metazoa; Arthropoda; Insecta; Hemiptera; Triozidae.
GAGUAGUAAAAGUUAAGAUCUACAAACUCAAAAAAUUUGGCGGUAUUUUAUCUUAUUAGAGGAACCUGUAUAUUAAUUGAUAUUCCACAAUUAAAUUUACUUUUAUUAAAAUACUUGUAUACCGCUGUCAUGAAUAUAUUAAAAAAUUAAUUUUCUUUUCCUUUUUCUGAUUUAUGUUAGGUCAAGGUGCAGUAUUUAAAGAUACUUAUGGGUUACAGUAUAAAUUAUGAAUGUUGGAAAGAGGAUUUAAAAGUAAAAAUAUAUAAAAAUUAUAUGAAUAGAGAUUCUGAAAUAUG